This is a non-coding RNA of Microcebus murinus (gray mouse lemur), 1735 nucleotides long. The record is from RefSeq and is a predicted model, not a curated record. NCBI's taxonomy places the organism in Eukaryota, Metazoa, Chordata, Mammalia, Primates, Cheirogaleidae.
CCGCUUCCUUCCCCGAGUCUCUGCGAGAACACGAGAGCCCGCGUGAGGCAGAGGUGGCCGGGGGAGAGCGUUCGGGCAUUCAGGAAACAGAUCCCAGAGCCAGGUCUCCGGGAAGUACUGGCGGACCCGAGAACCCUCUGACGGAAGUGCCCCUCCGCUGGGCCCACUGGAUGAUGACGCAAAGGCCUCUGGAGGAACAACACCACCCCACGGUGAGACCAAGAAUAUGAGAAUUUUGGAAAACAGACGACUUCUGUUGAGGUGGAGGGACUACUAAAAAAAAAAAUACUACUCACAGAGCUGUUGCUCAGCUCUGUCUCUGGCCUCAGGAGAAGGACACUCUCAUCCACAGCCCGGAUAGCACACAGGGACCCAGGAGCUGCCUGCAGCUGCAGCUCCACAUCUGCCCCUGGAAGCUGCCGGGAAGAAGAUGCAUGACAUACACUCACCUUCCUUCUUACAGUUCAGAUGUUUCUGCCCCUCCAUCUGCAAACUCCCUCUCCCUAUUAACUAAAGAAGAGAAGAAAAUAACCAACAGCGCAGAAGUUGCGGUAAUUUCCCCUUGGCCCUACUUCUGGAAUGUCUCUGCAUCCCUCCGGGAGGGGAGGCUCCUACCACAGCUGCGAGCCUGCUCAACACUCCCCCGGCAUCCCUUGGCUUGACAAGGGCAGGUGCUGCCAGCAGGUCCUGAGGACUCUCCCUCCAGGGGGAGGACUGCUGAGAACCACGGGGGUCGAGGGGAGGUGUCUGGGAGCAGGAUGUCAUUCCUCACUAUAGAUGGCUGCCCGCCAUUUCUUGAAGAUUCCAGGUUUUAUUCUCUUAUAAUCCUUGUAACAUAAAGUGAGCUGAAGUCCAUCCUCAUAACCUUGUAUUGUGGCUCAGUUCAAAAUUCAGUGGCAAUGAGCUCACCUUAAACCCUCCCGAGCCCUUCUGGCAUUUGACCCUCUGGAGGAGAAACCUCCUUUGUUUAAAUUCUCCUUUCCUGUCCCCUCUCAUGUGAAACAGAAUCCCAGGAAAGUGUUGCCCACGCUCCUGUCAGGGGCUCCGUGGCCAAAGCUGUUCCGAAUGGCGCAGCCUCCACUCACGCCUUUCCCACGCCUCCCCACGCCUGUGCUGAAGACGGGCCUGUCACUCUGACUUGUCACGGCCCACCUGCCUCUCCUCAUUCCCCUGUGUCAGGACGACUGUUUUUAGCGGGAUGAAAACACUGAACUCACAGAAGCUACUGGAAUUAUCCAGAGGCGAGAGAGUCUCCCAGAGACUGAGAGGAGGAAUACACCUGGACUGGCUCGCUGGAGGAUGAGAGACAUGGAACACCAGCUUACAGCCAGCAGAUCCACGGACACAGCAGGAAACCCACCGGAAUUGUCAGAGCUGCCUAACUGCCCACCCCCGUGAGACCACAGGCUCCAGUUAGACUGCUCUACCCUGCACUGUGACCUGGCAGCUCUCUCCAGGUAGUAAGCAGCGGCAAUUACUGUGCUCACCUUUCUUGUCUUCCCUGUAAAGAAUCACUACCGUGCUAACUUAUUAUGUGUCCAGUAUUUGAAAACCAUUGUUUGAUAUGUCAUGUCCUGUGUUUUGGAUGGUGGGGAAAUCCAGGCUCCGUUAGUCCAUCUUGGCCGGAAGCAGAAGUGCUUUUGUCUAUGUUAUUGCAGUAGUCUCCUUGCUUCUACCUGUGACUUUCCAGAGUCUGUCAUCAAUAUGAUACCUAAGGCCGGGUGCGGUGGCUCAC